This 74-nucleotide transfer RNA is filed under the name Treponema sp. RNAcentral describes it as "tRNA-Ala". It matches the Rfam family "tRNA". Rfam says of the family: Transfer RNA (tRNA) molecules are approximately 80 nucleotides in length. The record is from RNAcentral. Lineage: Bacteria; Pseudomonadati; Spirochaetota; Spirochaetia; Treponematales; Treponemataceae.
GGGGAUAUAGCUCAGUUGGCUAGAGCGGCUGGUUCGCAAUCAGCAGGCCGGGGGUUCAACUCCCCCUAUCUCCA